Molecule: ribosomal RNA, 423 nt
Filed under: uncultured bacterium
Lineage: Bacteria
Description: bacterial SSU rRNA
Rfam family: Bacterial small subunit ribosomal RNA
Source: RNAcentral
AAGACCUUGCGCUUUUGGAGCGGCCGAUGCCUGAUUAGCUUGUUGGUAAGGUAAAAGCUUACCAAGGCUUCGAUCAGUAGCUGGUCUGGGAGGACGGCCAGCCACACUGGGACUGAGACACGGCCCAGACUCUUACGGGAGGCAGCAGUGGGGAAUUUUGGACAAUGGGGGCAACCCUGAUCCAGCCAUGCCGCGUGAGUGAAGAAGGCCUUCGGGUUGUAAAGCUCUUUCAGCCGGAACGAAACGGUUACGGUUAAUACCCGUGAUUACUGACGGUACCGGAAGAAGAAGCACCGGCUAACUACGUGCCAGCAGCCGCGGUAAUACGUAGGGUGCGAGCGUUAAUCGGAAUUACUGGGCGUAAAGCGUGCGCAGGUGGUUUUGUAAGUCAGAUGUGAAAGCCCCGGGCUCAACCUGGGAACU